This 890-nucleotide ribosomal RNA is filed under the name uncultured archaeon. RNAcentral describes it as "bacterial SSU rRNA". It matches the Rfam family "Archaeal small subunit ribosomal RNA", at positions 455 to 1354 of the family's 1478-position model. The record is from RNAcentral.
GUGCCAGCAGCCGCGGUAAUACCAGCCCCGCGAGUGGUUGGGACGUUUACUAGGCCUAAAGCGCCUGUAGCCGGCCCUGUAAGUCCCUCCCUAAAGGCCCGGGCUCAACCCGGGAACUGGGAGGGAUACUGCAGGGCUAGGGAGCGGAAGAGGCCAGGGGUACUCCCGGGGUAGGGGCGAAAUCCUAUAAUCCCGGGAGGACGACCAGUGGCGAAGGCGCCUGGCUAGGACGCGUCCGACGGUGAGGGGCGAAAGCUGGGGGAGCGAACCGGAUUAGAUACCCGGGUAGUCCCAGCUGUAAACGAUGCGGAUUGGGUGCCGGUACGGCUUCGGGCCGUAUCGGUGCCUCAGGGAAGCCGUUAAAUCCGCCGCUUGGGGAGUACGGUCGCAAGACUGAAACUUAAAGGAAUUGGCGGGGGAGCACCACAAGGGGUGAAGCCUGCGGCUCAAUUGGAGUCAGCGCCGGGAACUUUACCGGGGGCGACAGCAGUAUGAGGGCCAAGCUGAUGACUUUGCCCGACGCGCUGAGAGGUGGCGCAUGGCCGUCGCCAGCUCGUGCCGUGAGGUGUCUGGUUAAGUCCAGGAACGAGCGAGACCCUCACCCCUAGUUGCCACCGCGCAAGCGGGCACACUAGGGGGACCGCCACCGCUAAGGUGGAGGAGGGAGGGGGCAACGGCAGGUCAGCAUGCCCCGAAUCCCCCGGGCCGCACGCGGGCUGCAAUGGUGGAGACAAUGGGUUCCGAACCCGAAAGGGGGAGGUAAUCCUUGAAACUCCACCGUAGUUGGGAUCGAGGGCUGCAACCCGCCCUCGUGAACCUGGAAUCCCCAGUAAUCGCGUGUCAUCAUCGCGCGGUGAACACGUCCCCGCUCCUUGCACACACCGCCCGUC